Long non-coding RNA from Chinchilla lanigera (long-tailed chinchilla), 428 nucleotides. RefSeq lists it as uncharacterized. NCBI's taxonomy places the organism in Eukaryota, Metazoa, Chordata, Mammalia, Rodentia, Chinchillidae. The record is from RefSeq and is a predicted model, not a curated record. The transcript is spliced from 2 exons.
UGUCUCAGAACAGUUUCCUUAGCUCUUUUUUGGUGUUGUUAGUAGAUUCCCACUCCUCUCCUAUCCUUUGGACAGAGACAGAUGGUGGGAGAGAUCUCACAGUACCUUAGAAAUAGCUUAACACAAACUCUAUUUCUAUAGAAGAGCAUUCUUUUUAGAGAAACUGGAGCUGAAGACUAGAAAUAGCAGUGGAGGAACAGAGUGAUGAAUGGGAAAUCAUUAAUAUGCCGACACCAUUAACAGAUGCAUCAUGAAACAGUAAUGAUGGAGUAUACAACAGGCAGAAUAUCACCGUGGCUAUCAUGGGCUGCACUCUCAGGCAAUUACAUGGAAGUUGGCUAAGUAAAUGUUUUUCCUUCAGUUUGUGGCUCUUUGAACAAGAAUGUUCUUUGUUUUUUGAAGAAAUAAAGGCCACUUUGCCUACUUUU